AUGCAUGCCUUCAACCAAUUCUACAACCUGGCAGGUAGCAAUUUUGGGUUGCUAAAUUCAGCAAUCGUAGCCCUAAUCCCCAAGAAAGACGGCCCGAACAGCAUAAAUGAUUACCGGCCGAUUAGCCUGAUACACUCCAUCGCCAAGCUAGUCUCCAAAGUGCUCUCGAUUAGGCUCGCCCGGAUCAUCCAACGCAUCAUAUCGCCGGCCCAGACAGCUUUUCUGAAAACAAGAUGCCUUCAUGACAGUUUUGUCUAUGUU
Molecule: ribosomal RNA, 261 nt
Filed under: Triticum aestivum (bread wheat)
Lineage: Eukaryota; Viridiplantae; Streptophyta; Magnoliopsida; Poales; Poaceae
Description: partial small subunit ribosomal RNA
Source: RNAcentral